GGUAGUCCACGCCGUAAACGAUGGGCGCUAGAUGUAGGGACCUUUCCACGGUUUCUGUGUCGUAGCUAACGCAUUAAGCGCCCCGCCUGGGGAGUACGGCCGCAAGGCUAAAACUCAAAGGAAUUGACGGGGGCCCGCACAAGCGGCGGAGCAUGCGGAUUAAUUCGAUGCAACGCGAAGAACCUUACCAAGGCUUGACAUACACCGGAAACGGCUAGAGAUGGUCGCCCCCUUGUGGUCGGUGUACAGGUGGUGCAUGGUUGUCGUCAGCUCGUGUCGUGAGAUGUUGGGUUAAGUCCCGCAACGAGCGCAACCCUCGUUCUAUGUUGCCAGCGCGUUAUGGCGGGACUCAUAGGAGACUGCCGGGGUCAACUCGGAGGAAGGUGGGGAUGACGUCAAAUCAUCAUGCCCCUUAUGUCUUGGGCUUCACGCAUGCUACAAUGGCCGGUACAAAGGGCUGCGAUACCGUAAGGUGGAGCGAAUCCCAAAAAGCCGGUCUCAGUUCGGAUUGAGGUCUGCAACUCGACCUCAUGAAGUCGGAGUCGCUAGUAAUCGCAGAUCAGCAACGCUGCGGUGAAUACGUUCCCGGGCCUUGUACACACCGCCCGUCAAGUCAUGAAAGUCGGUAACACCCGAAGCCGGUGGCCUAACCCUUGUGGAAGGAGCCGUCGAAGGUGGGAUCGGUGAUUAGGACUAAGUCGUAACAAGGUAACC
RNAcentral lists this ribosomal RNA (714 nucleotides) under uncultured bacterium. RNAcentral describes it as "bacterial SSU rRNA". It matches the Rfam family "Bacterial small subunit ribosomal RNA", at positions 789 to 1501 of the family's 1533-position model. The record is from RNAcentral.